This 309-nucleotide unclassified non-coding RNA is filed under the name plant metagenome. Its description in RNAcentral is "partial contains 5.8S ribosomal RNA, internal transcribed spacer 2, and large subunit ribosomal RNA". The stretch from base 1 to 105 matches the Rfam family "5.8S ribosomal RNA", at positions 50 to 154 of the family's 154-position model. The record is from RNAcentral.
GAAAUGCGAUAAGUAGUGUGAAUUGCAGAGUUCAGUGAAUCAUCGAAUCUUUGAACGUACAUUGCGCCCCUUGGUAUUCCAUGGGGCAUGCCUGUUCGAGCGUCAUUUGUACCCUCAAGCUCUGCUUGGUGUUGGGUGUUUGUCCCGUCUCCGCGCGUGGACUCGCCCCAAAGUGAUUGGCAGCCGGCGUACUGGUCCCGGAGCGCAGCACAUGUCGCGCAAACGAGUGCCUUGGUACGGCGGCGUCCAUAAGCCCCUCUCUCACGCUCUUGACCUCGGAUCAGGUAGGGAUACCCGCUGAACUUAAGC